GUACUCCUUGCUCAAUUCCGGUUGAUCCUGCCGGAGGCCACUGCUAUGGGGGUCCGACUAAGCCAUGCGAGUCAUGGGGCGCCUUGCGCGCACCGGCGGACGGCUCAGUAACACGUCGGUAACCUACCCUCGGGAGGGGGAUAACCCCGGGAAACUGGGGCUAAUCCCCCAUAGGCCUGAGGUACUGGAAGGUCCUCAGGCCGAAAGGGGCUUUGCCCGCCCGAGGAUGGGCCGGCGGCCGAUUAGGUAGUUGGUGGGGUAACGGCCCACCAAGCCGAAGAUCGGUACGGGCCAUGAGAGUGGGAGCCCGGAGAUGGACACUGAGACACGGGUCCAGGCCCUACGGGGCGCAGCAGGCGCGAAACCUCCGCAAUGCGGGCAACCGCGACGGGGGGACCCCCAGUGCCGUGGCAUCGCCACGGCUUUUCCGGAGUGUAAAGAGCUCCGGGAAUAAGGGCUGGGCAAGGCCGGUGGCAGCCGCCGCGGUAAUACCGGCGGCCCGAGUGGUGGCCGCUAUUAUUGGGCCUAAAGCGUCCGUAGCCGGGCCCGUAAGUCCCUGGCGAAAUCCCACGGCUCAACCGUGGGGGCUUGCUGGGGAUACUGCGGGCCUUGGGACCGGGAGAGGCGGAGGGUACUCCUGGGGUAGGGGUGAAAUCCUAUAAUCCCAGGAGGACCGCCAGUGGCGAAGGCGCUCCGCUGGAACGGGUCCGACGGUGAGGGACGAAGGCCAGGGGAGCGAACCGGAUUAGAUACCCGGGUAGUCCUGGCUGUAAAGGAUGCGGGCUAGGUGUCGGGCGAGCUUCGUGCUCGCUCGGUGCCGAAGGGAAGCCGUUAAGCCCGCCGCCUGGGGAGUACGGCCGCAAGGCUGAAACUUAAAGGAAUUGGCGGGGGAGCACUACAAGGGGUGGAGCGUGCGGUUUAAUUGGAUUCAACGCCGGGAACCUCACCGGGGGCGACGGCAGGAUGAAGGCCAGGCUGAAGGUCUUGCCGGACACGCCGAGAGGAGGUGCAUGGCCGCCGUCAGCUCGUACCGUGAGGCGUCCACUUAAGUGUGGUAACGAGCGAGACCCGCGCCCCCAGUUGCCAGUCCUUCCCGCUGGGGAGGAGGCACUCUGGGGGGACCGCCGGCGAUAAGCCGGAGGAAGGAGCGGGCGACGGUAGGUCAGUAUGCCCCGAAACCCCCGGGCUACACGCGCGCUACAAUGAGCGGGACAAUGGGAUCCGACCCCGAAAGGGGAAGGUAAUCCCCUAAACCCGCUCCCAGUUCGGAUCGCGGGCU
Molecule: ribosomal RNA, 1279 nt
Filed under: Thermococcus celericrescens
Lineage: Archaea; Methanobacteriati; Methanobacteriota; Thermococci; Thermococcales; Thermococcaceae
Description: bacterial SSU rRNA
Rfam family: Archaeal small subunit ribosomal RNA
Source: RNAcentral